Rattus norvegicus (Norway rat) is the source of this 287-nucleotide unclassified non-coding RNA. Ensembl annotates it as Metazoan signal recognition particle RNA. Lineage: Eukaryota; Metazoa; Chordata; Mammalia; Rodentia; Muridae. The record is from Ensembl.
GCCGGGCGCGGUGGCACACGCCUGUAGUCCCAGCUACUUGGGAGGCUGAGACAGGAGGAUCGCUUGAGUCCAGGAGUUCUGGGCUGUAGUGUGCUAUGCCGAUCAGGUGUCCGCACUAAGUUCGGCAUCAAUAUGGUGACCUCCCGGGAGCGGGGGACCACCAGGUUGCCUAAGGAGGGGUAAACCGGCCCAAGUCGGAAAAGAGGGAGAAACCAGUAAAUCCUCAAAAUGUAUUUACUCAAUCCCUUUUAAGAAGCACAUGACCAUCUUUUGUCCCAGCAGUCACU